This is a long non-coding RNA of Anser brachyrhynchus (Pink-footed goose), 1639 nucleotides long. Lineage: Eukaryota; Metazoa; Chordata; Aves; Anseriformes; Anatidae. The record is from Ensembl.
UAAAAAUACUCUGAUCAAAAAAGUCAGAGAAACUGAUCCCUUCAAAUAUCUUUGGCUCUGACAAACUUUCCUCUCUCUGAAGCUUUGAAACAAAAGAUUCCCAGCCAGUUCUACUGACAUGUUCCGGGUCUGAAGAUCUCCAGUUCUCCUUAUCCAUUGUGUGAAUCAGACCUGGUUUCAGUCCUGAUAUCUGCAUGCCACUGAGCUUCUAAGUCUGGGAGAGAUCCUAACAGCUGAUAAGUAGCAGCACAAAUGGAUUUACAUGUAAAUUCAUCCCAUGAUGAUACUGUCUAGCAGAAAAGAACAUGGCUUUCCAGGGCUUGCCUGCCUCAGUUCAAGGGGUAGCAAGUUCCUCUGUGAAGCUGGCUCACGUGUUCAAUGUUUGCAGGGCUGAGACCAGAGGAAAGAAAGAGAAAUCAGCAAUCAUUGUUAGAUCCUUGCCUUUUGGGACAAUGGCCAUUGCUGCAUUAUGCACAUGUACUAUGCCAAGGAGAAUGGUGCCGAGGCUGUGUGCUGCUGUUUGUUGAAGGAAGAUUAAAUACAACUGCACUGCAUGAAGGAGAAGACACCUGGGGAGAACUAAGAGCUUUGGGAGGCCCAGAACAAAUAUUGGACACAGGUCAACAAAUCUGUAGCUGAAUCAGGCAAACAGCCAAAAUGCUACACAUGAAUUGCGGGCAGUGCUUCACAUCAAGUUGGAGGAGAUCGGUGUGACCGAGCUGUUUCUGAAAUGUUUCUCUUUUUCAAUGUAGGAAGGAGAGCUAGAUUUCUUGCUCUCAUGUCAUAUGCUGGGAAUGGCUAAACUGAAGGAAGACAGGAAAAAAAGCGAGCCCAGAUGAAAAUAUUGAACAAAAUACAUAAAAAAAAUAUUGAACCAGGAUAGUCCUUGUAUAUGCUGAAUAUGUCAUUCGAUAUACAAAGGCAUCUAUAAAGGAAGCUGCAUCAUGAUUUUGCUAACGAUAUGCACUGGCAGUGGAGGAACUGGGACACUGUCAGCAUCCAGGCUACUUUGCUUAUCAGCGGUUGCUAGAAUUAAACCCCAGUGCACGGAAUCAAGCCUCACCACCGUGUAAAGUUCCUGCACAAGACCCUCAGAGUCCCUCUUCAUCCUUCAGCACAGAGCUGAGGUGUGUAAAAGGUGUGCUGACUUACUCACAAAGUCAUCUUUCAUCUUUUCUUGUCUAUGGCCCUGCGAAUGGAAUCAAAUGGACAUGGCCAGGCUUUUCUUCCCAAAACUCUUUGCCUUAUUCUUCGUUUCACCUUUAAAUUACUAGAUGCUGUGUUUCACAGAACAGCUCCAAAGAAAGACACGAGGCAACUGCUUCAUUUAACACUGCUUGACAAAGCGAUCUCGCAUGACCUCCCAGCAGCAACCUGCUCACUCAUUUUAAGUACAGUGUAAUUGCUGAAUGUCUGACUCACCUCACUGUCUUUCAAGUGCACUUCUGUGCCUACAUUUUUAGGCAUGACUUUAAAAUAUGGUGCUAAACAUUAUCUGCUCAUUUUUCUAUAUUGCGGUGCUGUUCUCGAAAGGAUGUCCGUCAAUCAAAUGGAUGCUUAACCUUUUCUUCUGAGAGGAGAAAAUAAUGUGGGAUAAUAUUCAUUGGUCUAUGAGAAAUGGGAACCUGAAAGCUUCACG